CUCAGAACGAACGCUGGCGGCGUGCCUAACACAUGCAAGUCCAACGUGAAAGGGGAGCAAUCCCCCGGUAGGGUGGCAAACGGGUGAGUAAUACAUGGGUGAUCUACCUUAGGGAUGGGGAUAUCCUUCCGAAAGGAGGGGCAAUACCGAAUAUUGUCCGGAGCCGUGAAGGGUUCCGGGGAAAGGGAGGCCUCUGAUACAAGCUUUCGCCUUAAGAUGAGCCCAUGGCCCAUCAGCUAGUUGGUAGGGUAAAGGCCUACCAAGGCUACGACGGGUCGCUGGUCUGAGAGGACGACCAGCCACACUGGCACUGAGAUACGGGCCAGACUCCUACGGGAGGCAGCAGUGAGGAAUAUUGCGCAAUGGGGGAAACCCUGACGCAGCAACGCCGCGUGUGGGAAGAAGGCCUUCGGGUCGUAAACCACUUU
RNAcentral lists this ribosomal RNA (428 nucleotides) under uncultured bacterium. RNAcentral's name for it is "bacterial SSU rRNA". It matches the Rfam family "Bacterial small subunit ribosomal RNA", at positions 23 to 436 of the family's 1533-position model. The record is from RNAcentral.